UACAGAGGGGGCAAGCGUUGUUCGGAAUUACUGGGCGUAAAGGGCGCGUAGGCGGCCUUCUAAGUCGAACGUGAAAUCCCCGGGCUCAACCCGGGAACUGCGUCCGAUGCUGGAAGGCUUGAAUCCGGGAGAGGGAUGUGGAAUUCCAGGUGUAGUGGUGAAAUGCGUAGAUAUCGGGAGGAACACCAGUGGCGAAGGCGACUACCUGGCCUGUUCUUGACGCUGAGGCGCGAAAGCUAGGGGAGCAAACGGG
This 253-nucleotide ribosomal RNA is filed under the name uncultured bacterium. RNAcentral describes it as "partial 16S ribosomal RNA". It matches the Rfam family "Bacterial small subunit ribosomal RNA", at positions 524 to 776 of the family's 1533-position model. The record is from RNAcentral.